This 74-nucleotide transfer RNA is filed under the name Candidatus Bathyarchaeota archaeon. RNAcentral's name for it is "tRNA-Phe". It matches the Rfam family "tRNA". Rfam says of the family: Transfer RNA (tRNA) molecules are approximately 80 nucleotides in length. Their secondary structure includes four short double-helical elements and three loops (D, anti-codon, and T loops). Further hydrogen bonds mediate the characteristic L-shaped molecular structure. tRNAs have two regions of fundamental functional importance: the anti-codon, which is responsible for specific mRNA codon recognition, and the 3' end, to which the tRNAs corresponding amino acid is attached (by aminoacyl-tRNA synthetases). tRNAs cope with the degeneracy of the genetic code in two manners: having more than one tRNA (with a specific anti-codon) for a particular amino acid; and 'wobble' base-pairing, i.e. permitting non-standard base-pairing at the 3rd anti-codon position. RNAcentral also lists the same sequence under 2 other names. Lineage: Archaea; Thermoproteati; Candidatus Bathyarchaeota. The record is from RNAcentral.
GCCGCGGUAGCUCAGCCUGGGAGAGCGUCCGGCUGAAGACCGGAAUGUCCCCGGUUCAAAUCCGGGCCGCGGCA